Molecule: non-coding RNA, 1849 nt
Organism: Meleagris gallopavo (turkey)
Lineage: Eukaryota; Metazoa; Chordata; Aves; Galliformes; Phasianidae
Source: RefSeq, a predicted model, not a curated record
CGGUUCAUCUGAACAGCAGCAAGACUUUCUCCCUCCCUGCCUACACUGGGCAAAUCACUCACCAGCUCCCAGCCUCCAAUCACCUGGGGCUGCAGAGCCUCCACCUCCUUCACAGCAGCUCACACACCACAUUUAGUUUGCUUUAUCACAUAUUUCAGUAAAAUCACAUAUUUAGGACUACAGAAGUUCAGGACUGGGCAAGAGAAGCAGAAAAUUGUCUAGCAGAAGUUGCUCUGUAUAAGGAAUGUAUCUGGGGAAGAGAGAGGCUUGAAUGUGGACUCAGCAUUGAUCUUCAAAUCUCAGGCAAUUGAACCGGGGUCUCCUUUUUUCGGAGGACUGUUGAAGACAUUUUCUGUGUUACAGAGUAAUCUGUAGCAAAAGAAAAACUUAAUCCAGGAAAGGUUUCAGGAGUGCAGUGACCCAGAGUGAGCAGAGUCUGGAGCUGCCAUCUCAGUUUGCUUCAAACAAAGGCAUCUUGCCAAGGUCAGUGACGAAUGGACUUCAUAGAUGUUUGCUUGUGACAAAUGUCUCUGGCACAGAUUUGAACAGGAGAAGAAAUUGGAUCUGCUUUUAGUCUUAAUAGGUAUCUUACUAGAGAUAAAUGCCUGUAAGCAUCAAGCUGAAGCUGUGAGGAAGCCUCUGAGAAGAGUCAGAGCUGCUCAGCUUUGUGGAGACAGGCCUGAGGGGCCCGGCUGGAAUUGGUGGCAGCAGGGGUAAAGAGGUUGCAGAGGCCCCAACAUGUUUUCAAUGCAGCAGGAUUAAGGUACUUUCUGAGCCUGGCUGCAGUCAGUGUGAGGUUGUCCAGGACAAUGCUGCCACCAAAAGGCACUCCCAGCCAUUGCUUUCUUGCUUCUUCUGUAGGUUAGUGGCUGAGCUUGAGGUGUUUUUAGCUGCAGUGCUGUGGUGAGAUGUGCUUGUUCAGUAGCAUAUGUCCUUAGGGGCCCAGCUUAUUCUUCCAAAGCAGGUAAUGUACAUUGUUACAGGAGACACCUUAGAUGAAUCACUUGCCAGUGAUUUCUGAAGGCACUUUGUUACCACCUGUGCCAUUUAGGCCUGUGUGGAGACCAAAUAAUCUCAUCAGUUCUUCAGAUAUGAAGUGAUCUGUACUGGACUCUUCCAUUGUCUCAUCCAAAACCGAAUGAGGCCAUGUCUGAGGUAGUGCUCUGUGCUUGGGGCAGCAACAGAGGUUAUGAAGUAGCAGUCAGACAUUCAUUUUGCAUACAUAGAUAGUUAGGAACCAGUGUAAGGCAUUCAGAAUUGCAGUGGUCAUCUAGGAUAUGUGUUUUUUCAGGGCUAAGAAAGAUGGAUGUACCUAAACUAUUAUGUCUUUUGUGUGUGAAGGGUUUUUUUGUCUCUAUGAAGUUUGUGUCUUCUACCUUGUCUUUGCUUGUGCUGCAGUUUCAAAGAAGACUAAAGAAGAAAGGGUGGGUUGGAGUCAGAAGAGGUGUUUCACCUCACUGACUUGUGGUCGGCAAGAACCAGCCUCCUGUUCAGAAACAAAGAAUCAUGGAAUUUGGAAGGGACCUGGAAGAUCACCUAGUUCACCCCCUCCUGUUCUUUCAGGGAUCAGAGAAAGUAGAAACAGAAAAAAAAAACCCAAACAUAUUUUUUCAAAAAGAUUACCUCUCAACAGAGAAAACCAUAAUGGCACCCAGCUGGCCACUGUGAUAGAUGACUUUACAAUCUUCAGGGUUUAUUGUGAAGUGCAAAGGAAUGGAGUAAUCUGAAAUCCAUUUGAACAACAAAAGCCUUGGAAAUUGUUUAAUGUUCAGAGAACAAAGUCUGCCAGAAUAGCUUUUCCCGUUAAUGAAAUAUCAACAAUCUAUUUGAGGGGGAAAAAGAUCACUCA